Molecule: transfer RNA, 81 nt
Filed under: Tuber magnatum (white Piedmont truffle)
Lineage: Eukaryota; Fungi; Ascomycota; Pezizomycetes; Pezizales; Tuberaceae
Description: tRNA-Pro
Rfam family: tRNA
About the family: Transfer RNA (tRNA) molecules are approximately 80 nucleotides in length. Their secondary structure includes four short double-helical elements and three loops (D, anti-codon, and T loops). Further hydrogen bonds mediate the characteristic L-shaped molecular structure. tRNAs have two regions of fundamental functional importance: the anti-codon, which is responsible for specific mRNA codon recognition, and the 3' end, to which the tRNAs corresponding amino acid is attached (by aminoacyl-tRNA synthetases). tRNAs cope with the degeneracy of the genetic code in two manners: having more than one tRNA (with a specific anti-codon) for a particular amino acid; and 'wobble' base-pairing, i.e. permitting non-standard base-pairing at the 3rd anti-codon position.
Source: RNAcentral
GCCUGAAUGGUCUAGUGGUAUGAUUCCUGCUUUGGGUAACUGAUCUGCAGGAGGUCUCCGGUUCAAUCCCGGAUUCAGGCC